Molecule: transfer RNA, 133 nt
Filed under: Microcaldota archaeon
Lineage: Archaea; Nanobdellati; Microcaldota
Description: tRNA-Gln
Source: RNAcentral
AGCCCCGUCGUCUAGUGUGUCCUGUGUCUCAAGUCCCGCGUCCAGAACGCGAAACGCUAAACAGGAAACAGACUUUGGUCAAGGAUGACAGGCUCUGGACCUGUAUACGUCGGUUCGAAUCCGAUCGGGGCUA